Molecule: ribosomal RNA, 427 nt
Filed under: uncultured bacterium
Lineage: Bacteria
Description: partial 16S ribosomal RNA
Rfam family: Bacterial small subunit ribosomal RNA
Source: RNAcentral
UGGGGAAUAUUGGACAAUGGGCGAAAGCCUGAUCCAGCCAUGCCGCGUGUGUGAAGAAGGUCUUCGGAUUGUAAAGCACUUUAAGUUGGGAGGAAGGGCAUUAACCUAAUACGUUAGUGUUUUGACGUUACCGACAGAAUAAGCACCGGCUAACUCUGUGCCAGCAGCCGCGGUAAUACAGAGGGUGCAAGCGUUAAUCGGAAUUACUGGGCGUAAAGCGCGCGUAGGUGGUUUGUUAAUUUUGAUGUGAAAUCCCCGGGCUCAACCUGGGAACUGCAUUCAAAACUGACUGACUAGAGUAUGGUAGAGGGUGGUGGAAUUUCCUGUGUAGCGGUGAAAUGCGUAGAUAUAGGAAGGAACACCAGUGGCGAAGGCGACCACCUGGACUAAUACUGACACUGAGGUGCGAAAGCGUGGGGAGCAAACA